CAGCAGUCGCCACGGUAAUACGUAGGUGGCAAGCGUUGUCCGGAAUUAUUGGGCGUAAAGGGCUCGCAGGCGGUUUCUUAAGUCUGAUGUGAAAGCCCCCGGCUCAACCGGGGAGGGUCAUUGGAAACUGGGAAACUUGAGUGCAGAAGAGGAGAGUGGAAUUCCACGUGUAGCGGUGAAAUGCGUAGAGAUGUGGAGGAACACCAGUGGCGAAGGCGACUCUCUGGUCUGUAACUGACGCUGAGGAGCGAAAGCGUGGGGAGCGAACAGGAUUAGAUACCCCAGUAGUCCCUGUCUCUUAUAC
Molecule: ribosomal RNA, 304 nt
Filed under: uncultured bacterium
Lineage: Bacteria
Description: partial 16S ribosomal RNA
Rfam family: Bacterial small subunit ribosomal RNA
Source: RNAcentral